UUUACCCCUCUGAUAUAAUUAACAGGCUCUAGUCCCUGGUUCGCUCCACCAAUCAAACACAGUUAAUCCGUAGUCAUGGCUGGAAGAAAACUUGUCGUUUGCUUGUUCUUAAUGCUUCUGUUAACACUUGGGAGUUCCUGGAAUCCAAACCCAAUAGAUACUUGCACGGAAUCGGUUUCCACACUGCCUCUCUGCGUGGGUUUCACAUGCAAGUAUCAUUGUUGGCUUUUUGCGAAAUUCAGCAAAGGAAAGGUCCUCUCUCGCAAGUGCUUGGGAAAAGGUUACAAAACAAAAUGUUACUGCAUGGUUUGCAGGAAAUAAAAUUAUCGCUGAACAUGAGAUAUUAUUACCUAAUGUAAUAAAUAGUAGGGUAUCAAUGAUUUGCAUUCUUUAAUUAGUUACAAUGUAAGUUACUCAUGAUCCUUAAUUAAUUAGUCCUUAGAGUUACA
This is a long non-coding RNA of Oryza brachyantha (malo sina), 449 nucleotides long. RefSeq lists it as uncharacterized. The record is from RefSeq and is a predicted model, not a curated record. NCBI's taxonomy places the organism in Eukaryota, Viridiplantae, Streptophyta, Magnoliopsida, Poales, Poaceae. The transcript is spliced from 2 exons.